UCGGCCGGGCGUGGUGGCCCGGUCCUGACGAGCAGCCAAAC
RNAcentral lists this non-coding RNA (41 nucleotides) under Syntrophobacter sp. The record is from RNAcentral. Lineage: Bacteria; Pseudomonadati; Thermodesulfobacteriota; Syntrophobacteria; Syntrophobacterales; Syntrophobacteraceae.